Molecule: long non-coding RNA, 669 nt
Filed under: Serinus canaria (Common canary)
Lineage: Eukaryota; Metazoa; Chordata; Aves; Passeriformes; Fringillidae
Description: lncRNA (ENSSCAG00000010478.1)
Source: RNAcentral
AUUUUCUGAAAUGCAGCAGAGGUGAGGAUCUGAGCUGCAGAGCAAACGCUGCAGGUGAAACCUCUCCAGAAAAACCCUCCCCAGUGCCGAGGUGAGGGAGUGAGGAGCCAGAAAAAGAGGAUUUGGAGACAAUGUGACUCCAGCAGGCCACGAGGACAAUGAGAAGUUCAGAAAUAGCACUAUUGACUGGUGGAAAAACAACAUACAUAUAAUUUUCAGUUUUCAUUUCAGAAAAAAAAAAUAGAAUAAUUCAAAGAGGAGCCUGGAGAAAAGCAAGCAGACCCACCCAAAAGGGGCAGCUUUCCCAGGCAGAGAAGUCCCAAAAGUGAAUUUCAGAUCCGAGUGCUGCCAUCGCUGCCACAGCUGGAGCCACCUCUGGAAAUGACUGCGUGUUGACAAAGGCUUUUUUUGGCAAGAAACCAUCAUCUGAGCCUCGGGAGCAGAGAGGAACAAAAUUUCACUACAUGUAAAUAACAGCCUAAAAAUAGAAGCGCAGAUUGUUUUUCUCAUUAAGUUCCUUCUCCAUCCUCCAGUAUAUUCUGCACUGAAAAGGGAGUGACUAUCAAAAAGCCGUGGAAAAAAAAAGUGAGUGACUAUCAAAAACUGGAAAAAAAAAAAACAAACCAAAACUGAAGAGCCUGGGUGAGGUUUGGCUGUAAAAAACACUGG